This 654-nucleotide ribosomal RNA is filed under the name uncultured archaeon. RNAcentral describes it as "bacterial SSU rRNA". It matches the Rfam family "Archaeal small subunit ribosomal RNA", at positions 508 to 1160 of the family's 1478-position model. The record is from RNAcentral.
GCCUAAAGCGUCCGUAGCCUGUUCUAUAAGUUUCCGGUUAAAUCCAUUAGCUCAACUAAUGGGCUGCCGAAAAUACUGUAGAACUAGGGAGUGGGAGAGGUAGACGGUAUUCGGUAGGAAGGGGUAAAAUCCUUUGAUCUAUUGAGGACCACCUGUGGCGAAGGCGGUCUACCAGAACACGUUCGACGGUGAGGGAUGAAAGCUGGGGGAGCAAACCGGAUUAGAUACCCGGGUAGUCCCAGCCGUAAACGAUGCAGACUCGGUGAUGCGCUGGCUUGUGGCCAGUGCAGUGCCGCAGGGAAGCCGUUAAGUUUGCCGCCUGGGAAGUACGUACGCAAGUAUGAAACUUAAAGGAAUUGGCGGGGGAGCACCACAAGGGGUGAAGCCUGCGGUUCAAUUGGAGUCAACGCCAGAAAUCUUACCCGAAGAGACAGCAGAAUGAAGGUCAAGUUGAAGCCUUUACCAGACAAGCUGAGAAGUGGUGCAUGGCCGUCGCCAGCUCGUGCCGUGAGGUGUCCUGUUAAGUCAGGUAACGAGCGAGAUCCUUGCCUCUAGUUGCUACCAUUACUCUCAGGAGUAGUGGGGCGAAUUAGCGGGACUGCCGUAGUUAAUACGGAGGAAGGAGAGGGCCACGGCAGGUCAGUAUGCCCCGAA